GGAGCCGUGCCUGAAUUAAAGGGCUACUUUGAUAGAGUAGACUAUAGGGGUUAGAACCCCCUCCGCUCCU
This 70-nucleotide transfer RNA is filed under the name Trichonotus filamentosus. RNAcentral's name for it is "tRNA-Ile". It matches the Rfam family "tRNA". Rfam says of the family: Transfer RNA (tRNA) molecules are approximately 80 nucleotides in length. Their secondary structure includes four short double-helical elements and three loops (D, anti-codon, and T loops). Further hydrogen bonds mediate the characteristic L-shaped molecular structure. tRNAs have two regions of fundamental functional importance: the anti-codon, which is responsible for specific mRNA codon recognition, and the 3' end, to which the tRNAs corresponding amino acid is attached (by aminoacyl-tRNA synthetases). tRNAs cope with the degeneracy of the genetic code in two manners: having more than one tRNA (with a specific anti-codon) for a particular amino acid; and 'wobble' base-pairing, i.e. permitting non-standard base-pairing at the 3rd anti-codon position. The record is from RNAcentral. Lineage: Eukaryota; Metazoa; Chordata; Actinopteri; Gobiiformes; Trichonotidae.